Non-coding RNA from Acanthosepion pharaonis, 109 nucleotides. NCBI's taxonomy places the organism in Eukaryota, Metazoa, Mollusca, Cephalopoda, Sepiida, Sepiidae. The record is from the annotation of a GenBank genome assembly.
UUACGGCCAUAUCACGCUGAAACACCGGCUCCCGAACGAUCACUAAAGUUAAGCAACAUCGAGCCUGGUUAUUACCUAGAUGUGUGAACACUUGGGAAUACCUGGUGCU